This is a non-coding RNA of Megalopta genalis, 592 nucleotides long. The record is from RefSeq and is a predicted model, not a curated record. Lineage: Eukaryota; Metazoa; Arthropoda; Insecta; Hymenoptera; Halictidae.
UGUGUGUGUGUGUGUGUGUGUGUGUGUGCGCCAAUGUUUUUGGAGGGAAACGCAUGUGCGACUGUGUUUGUGGCUGAGAAAGAGAUGAAACGGCGGAGGAACAUGUCGACGGAACGGUUACCGGACGUAACGAUGAAACACACUGCUCGCUCCUGGACGCGUUUCUUUGCGUUUCUCGGCGCAUUCGAACCGAUCGGAAAUCACGUUCCGUGGCGGAAAUGAGCGUGACACGUAAGAUCGUUGGAAAAAUGCGAAACAUUCGAGGAGAUUCGACGAAAGAUAGAACAAUAAAUUCGUAAAUUUAACCUGUGAACAUUUAAAUAUGGUGGAAGGAACGCGUCGGCGGCUCAGUGUUGCCAGUACGGAAGUGCUAGAUGACGAUAUUGCCAGGUUUGCUCCCUCCAAAACGGCGCGUGUAUUGGCAGCAUUGUUUUUUGGUAGUUUACAAAUAAAAUGGCCGAUAUAUGAGGCUAUUUUGUAUGGACAAUAAAAUAUGCAAUUCUGUAAAAUUAAUGACCAUCGGCUGCUCGUGUGUGUAUGUCAAAGUAUAGGUUCAGUGCCGCGAAAUACGCGGAAAGAAGGUGAAGUGUAA